RNAcentral lists this ribosomal RNA (253 nucleotides) under uncultured bacterium. RNAcentral describes it as "partial 16S ribosomal RNA". It matches the Rfam family "Bacterial small subunit ribosomal RNA", at positions 524 to 776 of the family's 1533-position model. The record is from RNAcentral.
UACGUAGGGAGCAAGCGUUGUCCGGAAUCAUUGGGCGUAAAGCGCGUGUAGGCGGCUCGAUAAGUCUGCUGUAAAAGUCCAGGGCUCAACCCUGGAAAGCCGGUGGAAACUGUCGAGCUAGAGUCCGGAAGAGGCGAGUGGAAUUCCUGGUGUAGCGGUGAAAUGCGCAGAUAUCAGGAGGAACACCAAUGGCGAAGGCAGCUCGCUGGGACGGUACUGACGCUGAGACGCGAAAGCGUGGGGAGCAAACAGG